Molecule: ribosomal RNA, 366 nt
Filed under: uncultured organism
Description: bacterial LSU rRNA
Rfam family: Bacterial large subunit ribosomal RNA
Source: RNAcentral
CUUUACUGUAGCCUGGUAUUGGGUUCGGGCUUUGACUGCGCAGGAUAGGUGGGAGACUAUGAAGCAAUCCUUGUGGGGGUUGCUGAGUCAACGGUGAGAUACCACUCUGUCAGAGCUAGAAUUCUAACUAAAUGCCGUUAUCCGGCUUUGGAACGUAUCAGGUGGGCAGUUUGACUGGGGCGGUCGCCUCCUAAAAGGUAACGGAGGCCCGCAAAGGUUCUCUCAGGCUGGUUGGAAAUCAGCCGUAGAGUGUAAAGGCAGAAGAGAGCUUGACUGCAAGAGCUACAACUCGAGCAGGGUGGAAACACGGCCUUAGUGAUCCGACGGCGCUGAGUGGAAGGGCCGUCGCUCAACGGAUAAAAGUUA